RNAcentral lists this ribosomal RNA (433 nucleotides) under uncultured bacterium. Its description in RNAcentral is "bacterial SSU rRNA". It matches the Rfam family "Bacterial small subunit ribosomal RNA", at positions 340 to 786 of the family's 1533-position model. The record is from RNAcentral.
UACGGGAAGGCAGCAGUGGGGAAUAUUGGACAAUGGGCGAAAGCCUGAUCCAGCCAUGCCGCAUGAGUGAAGAAGGCCUUCGGGUUGUAAAGCUCUUUUAGUGAGAAAGAUAAUGACGGUACUCACAGAAGAAGUCCUGGCUAACUCCGUGCCAGCAGCCGCGGUAAUACGGAGAGGGCUAGCGUUAUUCGGAAUUAUUGGGCGUAAAGAGCGCGUAGGCUGAUUAGUAAGUUAAAAGUGAAAUCCCAAAGCUUAACUUUGGAAUUGCUUUUUAAAACUGCUAGUCUAGAGAUUGAAAGAGGAUAGAGGAAUUCCUAGUGUAGAGGUGAAAUUCGUAAAUAUUAGGAGGAACACCAGUGGCGAAGGCGUCUAUCUGGUUCAAAUCUGACGCUGAGGCGCGAAGGGCGUGGGGAGCAAACAGGGAUUAGAUACC